Molecule: long non-coding RNA, 1523 nt
Organism: Cyprinus carpio carpio
Lineage: Eukaryota; Metazoa; Chordata; Actinopteri; Cypriniformes; Cyprinidae
Source: Ensembl
GUACAGUGGUCAACAAUCCAGCAGCUACAUCGUCAUUAUCUUUGGAGUCUAGGCAAGGAGACAUUAAUCAUGGUGAGUAAUGACACCAACACUUCUGUAAAUAACUAGUAAUGUAAAGUUAUUAUUGACAUUUUGUUAUGUACCAUUGUUCUUAGAUGAAAUUCCAUCACUUUCUUUUCGCACUGUUUGUCCGGCAGUUGAAGACAUAGGUGUGUAUAUGUGACUUAAAGAGUUAAUGUUAUUAAAGAGAGAAUAUAAUUACUGCUUUGUAAUGAUCAGUGUAACUGACUGCCAUGGACACUAUAAUUUACACUUUUUUUUCUAAUACAGAAACUCUUCAUCAAGAGGUAGAGGAUCUGUUAGCUGAUACUGAAGACAUUCAGUGCUCAAAUCCGACUUCCUCAAACGCAUGGUCAGUUCGCAUGGCCCAGACUAAAAAGAAGUGGGCAGCUUUGAGGCCAGAGAUGGUGGAGUGUUUAUUAACAGCUGAGUAUACGGAGAUCAGGCAGUGCCAGCACUGCCGACUGAAGCAGUCUGUUAUCCGCUGUAAAGACUGCAUUCCUAAACAGCUGUACUGUGUAGAAUGUGAUAUUUUGGCCCAUGAAAGGAAACUUCACAACCGAGAGACAGAUGUAGAAGGUUUCUUUCGGCCCAUAUCCCCAACAACUUUGGUUAAAGUGGAUAUUGACGGCAAGUUCCAAUUUGAGGAAAAAGAUUGCCUUUUGCCUCUUGAGGCACCUGAACAAAUUUGCAACUGUGCCACAGAUUCCACUGUGGUGUCAGAAGGUAAAAGGGCAAUCCUCAUAGGAAUUGAUGGUCGCUACAAUGUCCGCUUGCCACACUUCAUGUGCCAAAAAUGUCAUAUGAGCAGAGCAACCAGCAUCCCACUGUUGAUCAAGUCUGGUUACUGGCCUGCCACAGCAAGCUGUGAAACAAUAUAUAAAAAUAGAUGUGUUUGUUUCCUAUGACCACAUGAAGCUGGCUGCUCCUGGAAUGUCUAGACAGUCCUUCACCGGUUUACUGGAACAGAGGACAGAGUUCUUCGGCAGAGUAAUAAUUGAAUGAAUUACCAAAUAAUUUAUAUUUCAUCUUUUCAGUUUUGGGAAUGAGAUAUGUCUUAUAGGUUUUAUGAUUUCGUUUUUUGUUUGUGUUGUUUUUUUUAGGAAGGAAAAAUAUGUGCAGAUGCUUUUCAAAGAAGUUUUUUCGAAUGGAGAUACUGCCAGUUUGAAAUUGAUCAGCUCUGUGGACUGAAAGUGUUUGACUGUCCAGCCUGUUCUCCAUUUAUGCUCGCUGUGUCCGUAGAUGGUAACAGGAAAUUGUAUCGCUUCAAAAGAGGGUAGGGGAAAUUCUAUUUCGGUGCCAAAAGCAUUUCAAAAUAUAAUAAUACCAAUUAACUUUUCAUUAACUAAUUAUGUAAUUUUUUUUCAAGGCAUGAAGAUCAUGGCCUGUUCGAGGGUGUCUUUGUCUGUAAAGAUGAAGAUGUUUCCAAGUUUGUGGACUACAUUAAUGCUAAGACAAAGCAC